Long non-coding RNA from Gadus macrocephalus (Pacific cod), 772 nucleotides. RefSeq lists it as uncharacterized. Lineage: Eukaryota; Metazoa; Chordata; Actinopteri; Gadiformes; Gadidae. The record is from RefSeq and is a predicted model, not a curated record. The transcript is spliced from 2 exons.
UAUUUUUUCGCUUUUCAGGCCCUUCAAUAACAUUCAGUCAUAAGAUAAUGUUAUUCUGCUGCUGCAAGCCGGGAAAAUAAAUGAAAGUAUUUUUGUGUGCUUAUGUGAUGCGCUGUUUUAAUGUCUCUGAGGUGAGACCAAAAGCUAAUUUCCGGCCAAGGCUGGACAAUAAAGUUGUAUUCUCUUCUGUUGUAUUCUUCUAUUCCUUUCAGUGGUGCAUUAUUCCUAAAAAGCAAAGAGAAACACAGGAAGCGACGGCGCCCGAUGUAGACGUGAGAUCCGUCAUAAUAUGACAUUUCGUUCACCGGGCGUGUCGAACAGACAUGCUGUGUGCUUCAAUGACUAUUUCAUUAAAGUCCUCAGACGCUUCGUACAUCAUAACGUACGACACUGUACUAGGAUUACGCAGACCAGUGCCCUGCGGAACCCAUCUGCGGUCCUCUUCCCACAGCGUUUUGCUUAUUCCGUCUAUACAGAUAGGUUCAACCGCUGUAGGAGAUGAGGUUCAAGGUUUGGGAUCCACUUUAAAUGUUCUGAUGCUCUGUUUCAACUGGACUCUGACUUAAGUGUAACCUUAGUUCAGCUAAUGUGUUCUGAUGUGUUAUUGGAUCACACACAAAUACACAAGCUCUCACACACACGCAGACACACAAACCAACGUACACAAGCUCUCACAAACACAUACAAAAGCACUUACACAAAUGCGCAUGCACACACACACACACACACACACACACACACACACACACACACACACACACACACACACACC